This 253-nucleotide ribosomal RNA is filed under the name uncultured bacterium. RNAcentral's name for it is "partial 16S ribosomal RNA". It matches the Rfam family "Bacterial small subunit ribosomal RNA", at positions 524 to 776 of the family's 1533-position model. The record is from RNAcentral.
UACAGAGGGUGCGAGCGUUAAUCGGAAUUACUGGGCGUAAAGCGUGCGUAGACGGUUUCGUAAGUCGGGUGUGAAAUCCCCGGGCUCAACCUGGGAAUUGCAUUCGAAACUGCGAGGCUAGGGUACGGAAGAGGGAAGCGGAAUUUCUGGUGUAGCGGUGAAAUGCGUAGAUAUCAGAAGGAACAUCAGUGGCGAAAGCGGCUUCCUGGACCAACACUGACACUGAUGAGCGAAAGCCAGGGGAGCAAACGGG